Molecule: ribosomal RNA, 449 nt
Filed under: uncultured bacterium
Lineage: Bacteria
Description: partial 16S ribosomal RNA
Rfam family: Bacterial small subunit ribosomal RNA
Source: RNAcentral
CCUACGGGGGGCUGCAGUGGGGAAUUUUGGACAAUGGGCGCAAGCCUGAUCCAGCAAUGCCGCGUGCAGGAUGAAGGCCUUCGGGUUGUAAACUGCUUUUGUACGGAACGAAACGGUGCGCUUUAAUACAGUUUGCUAAUGACGGUACCGUAAGAAUAAGCACCGGCUAACUACGUGCCAGCAGCCGCGGUAAUACGUAGGGUGCGAGUGUUAAUCGGAAUUACUGGGCGUGAAGCGUGCGACGGCUGUGAAAUCCCCGGGCUCAACCUGGGACCUGCAUUUGUGACUGUAUAGCUAGAGUACGGUAGAGGUGGAUGGAAUUCCGCGUGUAGCAGUGAAAUGCGUAGAUAUGCGGAGGAACACCGAUGGCGAAGGCAAUCCCCUGGACCUGUACUGACGCUCAUGCACGAAAGCGUGGGGAGCAAACAGGAUUAGAUACCCUGGUAGUC